RNAcentral lists this unclassified non-coding RNA (25 nucleotides) under Mus musculus (house mouse). Its description in RNAcentral is "oocyte_clustered_small_RNA304". Lineage: Eukaryota; Metazoa; Chordata; Mammalia; Rodentia; Muridae. The record is from RNAcentral.
UAGCUGUCUCUACCACCUAUGUGCU